CUUUACUGCAACUUGACGUUGGAACUUGGCGGUAUUUGUGUAGGAUAGGUGGGAGACUUUGAAGCAGGGCCGCCAGGUCUUGCGGAGUCGUCGUUGAAAUACCACCCUGGUGCUGACGGGUUUCUAACCGUGUCCGUAAGCCGGACAUGAGACAGCGUCUGGUGGGCAGUUUGACUGGGGCGGUCGCCUCCUAAAAGGUAACGGAGGCAUUCAAAGGUCCCCUCAGCGUGGUCGGUAAUCACGCGCAGAGUGCAAACGCAUAAGGGGGCUUAACUGCGAGACCGACAGGUCGAGCAGGUACGAAAGUAGGAGUUAGUGUUCCCGCGGUUUAGCGUGGAAUUGCCGUUGCUCAAUGGAUAAAAGGUA
This 366-nucleotide ribosomal RNA is filed under the name uncultured organism. Its description in RNAcentral is "bacterial LSU rRNA". It matches the Rfam family "Bacterial large subunit ribosomal RNA", at positions 2099 to 2465 of the family's 2925-position model. The record is from RNAcentral.